RNAcentral lists this ribosomal RNA (467 nucleotides) under uncultured bacterium. RNAcentral's name for it is "bacterial SSU rRNA". It matches the Rfam family "Bacterial small subunit ribosomal RNA", at positions 29 to 524 of the family's 1533-position model. The record is from RNAcentral.
AACGAACGCUGGCGGCAGGCCUAACACAUGCAAGUCGAACGAGAUCUUCGGAUCUAGUGGCGGACGGGUGAGUAACGCGUGAGAAACCUGCCCUAUACAGGGGGAUAGCCAUUGGAAACGAUGAUUAAUACCCCAUAUGACCACAGUAUCGCAUGAUACAGCGGUGAAAACUCCGGUGGUAUAGGAUGGUCUCGCGUCUGAUUAGCUAGUUGGUGGGGUAACGGCCUACCAAGGCGACGAUCAGUAGCCGGCCUGAGAGGGUGACCGGCCACACUGGAACUGAGACACGGUCCAGACUCCUACGGGAGGCAGCAGUGGGGAAUAUUGCACAAUGGGCGAAAGCCUGAUGCAGCGACGCCGCGUGAACGAUGAAGGCUUUCGAGUCGUAAAGUUCUGUUCUUGGGGAAGAUAACGACGGUACCCAAGGAGAAAGCACCGGCUAAAUACGUGCCAGCCGCCGCGGUAAU